RNAcentral lists this ribosomal RNA (411 nucleotides) under Verrucomicrobiota bacterium. Its description in RNAcentral is "Verrucomicrobia bacterium partial 16S ribosomal RNA". It matches the Rfam family "Bacterial small subunit ribosomal RNA", at positions 355 to 776 of the family's 1533-position model. The record is from RNAcentral. Lineage: Bacteria; Pseudomonadati; Verrucomicrobiota.
UGGGGAAUCUUGCGCAAUGGGGGAAACCCUGACGCAGCGACGCCGCGUGCGGGAUGAAGGCCUUCGGGUUGUAAACCGCUUUCAGCAGGGACGAGGCCUUAUGGUGACGGUACCUGCAGAAGAAGCUCCGGCUAAAUACGUGCCAGCAGCCGCGGUAAUAAGUAUGGAGCAAGCGUUAUCCGGAUUCAUUGGGCGUAAAGCGCUCGUAGGCGGUCUGUUAGGUCGGCAAGUUAAAUCCGGGGGCUCAACCCCCGUCCGCUUCCGAUACCGGCAGACUUGAGUUUGGUAGGGGAAUGUGGAAUUCCUAGUGUAGCGGUGGAAUGCGCAGAUAUUAGGAAGAACACCGGUGGCGAAGGCGGCCUUCUGGGCCAUAACUGACGCUGAGGAGCGAAAGCUAGGGGAGGGAACAGG